UGGCGAACGGGUGAGUAACGCGUGAGGAACCUGCCUCAAAGAGGGGGACAACAGUUGGAAACGACUGCUAAUACCGCAUAAGCCCACGGGUCGGCAUCGACCUGAGGGAAAAGGAGCAAUCCGCUUUGAGAUGGCCUCGCGUCCGAUUAGCUAGUUGGUGGGGUAAAGGCCUACCAAGGCGACGAUCGGUAGCCGGACUGAGAGGUUGAACGGCCACAUUGGGACUGAGACACGGCCCAG
RNAcentral lists this ribosomal RNA (240 nucleotides) under uncultured bacterium. RNAcentral's name for it is "partial 16S ribosomal RNA". It matches the Rfam family "Bacterial small subunit ribosomal RNA", at positions 96 to 334 of the family's 1533-position model. The record is from RNAcentral.